AAAUGAAUCUCCAUUUUUAAAGUACAGUCAUUAAGAGCUACCCUUCUUUCUAGUUUUUCUACUUGGUUAAAAAAAAAAAAAAAUUACAACUCUUCCCCCACCAAGAAAACACUAUUCACACUCCUUUUUCCCACCUGAUACACGUUCUAAGUAACAUGCACAAUUAUAUCUAGUUCCAUAGCAUGCAUUUUCUACUCAGACAUAUGGACAUAUGUUUUUUAACAUUUUUUUGUUUUUACUUUUUGGCUGCACUGUGUGGCAUUCGGGAUCUUAGUUCCUCAACCACGGAUUGAACCCGAGCCCCUGUAGUGAAGCAUAGUCUUAACCGCUGGAUCACCAGGGAAGUCCCCUACUUAGAAGUAACCUUAUAUGCAAUGUAGAUACGAUUCAAGUACUAUGCUAAUUCUGUUUACAAGAUAGCUCUUCUGUGGCUCUAGCCUGCUUAAAAUCAUUCUACUCCAUCCUUUAAUACAUUUAAAUACAGGUUGCAUGCACAGACACAGAGAUAACAUCCACACUGUAAGAAAAGAAUAAAUCUUAAUAUAAAUAAUAGUAAUACUUUACAGUGGUUUAUGAUACAAGUUCCACAUAAGAUCCACUUGUGAGGCCUUUUGGAAGGGGCCACCUGUAGAGUUUCAAGUUUCAAAGGCCAGAAAGGGGCCUGAGAAUUUCCAUGAUUAAAAAGCCUCACUGAGAAUUCUAAAGUCCAGCCACGGUUAAAACCCACAGGUAUUACUAGUCCUUUAAACUUUACAAAGUGCUAUUAUGCCAAUGAUGUGAUCCUCAGGGGCCCCCUGUGAGGUAAUACUAUCCUCAAUAAGGGGAAUGCCGCAAGACCCCUAAGAAUUUACUUAGUUAAGGUAGCACUUGAACCCCCACAAUAUUCCCAUUUCCAAGGGCCACUCUCUUUCCAUUCUGAUGCAGGCUCCUCUUAAAACACUAGAUCUGGACAAUCCCACUAAGACUAACAAAAAGAGGAAUUACAAACUGAGAGGAAUUCACCUGUGACUAAGGAUUGCUUAGGCAGGGGAACAGAAACCUGAUGUUCCUAAAUAGCUUUCGUAAGCGAAGAGAAGCAAGGAUGAGUUCUCAUCCCAAGGUGGAAGCCCUGCUUCAAAAGCCAGAGCCCAGUAUCUGCAGACAAUCGGAGGGUGUCUUUGAAAUAUGGUCUUGAUCUCUGUAUUUGACAAACCCAAGUGAAUUACUGUUCAAAAGAGAGGAGAAAGACAAAUGACGCCAAUUAGUUCAUCAUUCAGGCAACAGAACAGCAAAAUCAACCCUGAGAAGCUAACACUUCUCUCAACACUAUGGUCACUGUCCUGGGGAAAUGUAUGUACUCAGCUGAGAAGUACACACAAGAGAAGGAUCUCCUCCCCCACAUACCUCUUUCUUCCCAUCACCAUCGAAGUCACACAAGGCCAAGGAAUGAACGUUAUCACCAGUAACCUAAAAAUAAAACCCAAGUCAUUACUAUGCCAUUUCUAUUCACUUAAUCCAAACACAGGAGCUACAUGAAAGACAGGAUGAAAUAAACCACGAAUUUAAAAUCCACAUUACUCAUUGCCUUUUUUUAAUGUAUAAAAUUACAAAUCCUGUUUUAUUUUGUUUCCAUCAUUCAUUACUGUCAGUGGUUAAAAAAAAUAAGCAAACAAGACCUAAAGAACAUUAAAAAAAAUGUUUAAGAGUACUAAAGAGAGUAUUUC
Molecule: long non-coding RNA, 1703 nt
Organism: Dama dama (fallow deer)
Lineage: Eukaryota; Metazoa; Chordata; Mammalia; Artiodactyla; Cervidae
Exons: 4
Source: RefSeq, a predicted model, not a curated record